AUUGCAGGUUGCAUGCAUCACGAUAAAAACAUUGUUCUUAGUUUUUUCGCUGGUGAAACACAAGGACGACUUCCCGGCCCCCAUUGCACCGUCUUGCUAAAUAGACACUAGCUAGCUAGCUUAAUUCCAUGCCCUUUUCUUCUCAGAUUUUAUUUCUUUUGCUUGAUAGAAGGGGCAUGGUCAAUGUUUACAGGCGAAAGCAGCCACAUGCAAACGGAUGUUUUUCCUUCCAUGCCUUUCGAAAUCAAGCAAAGCGACAAUGCAUACGAGUUAAAAGAAAAGGGUGUUGUCGUCGGUUGC
This 300-nucleotide long non-coding RNA is filed under the name Populus trichocarpa (black cottonwood). Its description in RNAcentral is "long non-coding RNA (PTRI_LNC003534)". The record is from RNAcentral. Lineage: Eukaryota; Viridiplantae; Streptophyta; Magnoliopsida; Malpighiales; Salicaceae.